GGCACAAGCGGUGGAUGAUGUGGAUUAAUUCGAUGCAACGCGAAGAACCUUACCUACCCUUGACAUGUCCGGAACUUGCCAGAGAUGGCUUGGUGCCCGAAAGGGAAUCGGAACACAGGUGCUGCAUGGCUGUCGUCAGCUCGUGUCGUGAGAUGUUGGGUUAAGUCCCGCAACGAGCGCAACCCUUAUCACUAGUUGCUACGCAAGGGCACUCUAAUGAGACUGCCGGUGACAAACCGGAGGAAGGUGGGGAUGACGUCAAGUCCUCAUGGCCCUUAUGGGUAGGGCUUCACACGUCAUACAAUGGUCGGUACAGAGGGUUGCCAAGCCGCGAGGCGGAGCCAAUCCCACAAAGCCGAUCGUAGUCCGGAUUGUUCUCUGCAACUCGAGAGCAUGAAGUCGGAAUCGCUAGUAAUCGCAGGUCAGCAUACUGCGGUGAAUACGUUCCCGGGUCUU
This 456-nucleotide ribosomal RNA is filed under the name uncultured Thiobacillus sp. RNAcentral's name for it is "bacterial SSU rRNA". It matches the Rfam family "Bacterial small subunit ribosomal RNA", at positions 922 to 1382 of the family's 1533-position model. Lineage: Bacteria; Pseudomonadati; Pseudomonadota; Betaproteobacteria; Nitrosomonadales; Thiobacillaceae. The record is from RNAcentral.